RNAcentral lists this ribosomal RNA (225 nucleotides) under uncultured bacterium. Its description in RNAcentral is "partial 16S ribosomal RNA". It matches the Rfam family "Bacterial small subunit ribosomal RNA", at positions 15 to 236 of the family's 1533-position model. The record is from RNAcentral.
GAUCCUGGCUCAGAUUGAACGCUGGCGGCAUGCUUUACACAUGCAAGUCGGACGGCAGCACAGAGAAGCUUGCUUCUUGGGUGGCGAGUGGCGAACGGGUGAGUAAUAUAUCGGAACGUACCGAGUAGUGGGGGAUAACUGAUCGAAAGAUCAGCUAAUACCGCAUACGUCUUGAGAGGGAAAGCAGGGGACCUUCGGGCCUUGCGCUAUUCGAGCGGCCGAUAU